Molecule: long non-coding RNA, 1286 nt
Organism: Oreochromis aureus
Lineage: Eukaryota; Metazoa; Chordata; Actinopteri; Cichliformes; Cichlidae
Exons: 3
Source: RefSeq, a predicted model, not a curated record
UACAAGUAAAAAGGAGUUCUUCGCAGGCAAUUUCCAAUGAAGUUGGCCUUUGCAUGUACAGCUCACAAAGUACAAGGCAUGACAAUGGAGUCAGCAGUAGUAUGUUUGAAGCGUGUUUUGAACCUGGAAUGGCCUAUGUUGCACUCAGCCGCACAACCUCACUUAAAGGACUCUACAUCACAGACUUUGAUGAAAGGAAAAUCUAUGCUGAUCCUGCCAUCACAGAUGCACUCAAAAAUAUGAGACAUGCAUCAUUUGAGAAUGCAAGACCACUGUUGCAAUUCUUAAAAUCAGUUGUUCCCACAGUCCCCACGUUGACAAUUAUCCAUCACAAUGCACAAGGUCUCCCAACUCACAUGGAGGACAUGAGAUGCCACCAUGAACUCAGCCUUGCUGAUGUUUUAUGCAUAACAGAAACUCACUUGUCUGGAUCAUCAGUUUCUCCCCGCUUCCAGCUCGAACAGUACAACAUGGCCACACGCAACAGACACGUCUCUUACACAAACCAUACAGACAUGGCAAAGGUAAAUGGCGGUGGAGUUGCAAUGUACUACAAAACAGUUCUUACAGCAGAGUCUCGAAAAUACCUGCAAAAUGUGACUGACCUUGAAUUUGUUGUUAUCAAGGUUGAAUCGCCAGUCACAGCUUUGAUAGCAACUGUAUACAGGCCACCAAAUUACAGCCACGUGAGGUUUUACCACAAAUGCAAUGUCUUUUGGACUCAUUGGAAAUGAUGAAUUGCCAACCAAUUAUUGUUUGUGGAGACUUCAAUGAGGACCUUAUGAGCAGAGGAAAAAACCCAUCCAAGAACUGUUUCAGUCAAGAGGAUAUGCACAACUUAUUACUGCUGCAACUACCGAAAAACACACAUUGAUUGAUCACCUUUACAUAUCACAGCCAAACGCCUGCCUCCAAUCAGGUGUUCUGAAUACAUAUCACAGUUAUCACAACCCCAUUUAUUGUGUAAUUCACUAACACAAAAUGACUGCAAGGUUGUGAGGGAUAUGGACUUGCCAAGUGAUCUUAGUGUCUUUGCAACUGAGCACACUCUACCACCAACAAGGACAGCUCACCAGUGGGAGCUGAUAGAUAAGACUGCUCUCAUCCAUUGAAGAGCUGACCAGAAACGUGAACAGAGAGACUGCAACUGCACCUGAUGGGAUCCCUGCCAUAACAGAUGUGUUCUGUCCAGUGAAGGCAGUGGAGAAGCCCUACACUGAUCUUGAAACUGUGCCACGCUAGUAGAGACCGGCUACAAGGAUGGGCAGCUGUUUUCGCAAAGUCAG